Molecule: transfer RNA, 71 nt
Filed under: Gallotia atlantica (Atlantic lizard)
Lineage: Eukaryota; Metazoa; Chordata; Lepidosauria; Squamata; Lacertidae
Description: tRNA-Leu
Source: RNAcentral
ACUUUUAAAGGAUAAUAGUCAUCCAUUGGUUUUAGGCACCAAGCCUCUUGGUGCAACUCCAAGUAAAAGUA